GACGAACGCUGGCGGCGUGCUUAACACAUGCAAGUCGAACGGAAAGGCCCUGCUUUUGUGGGGUGCUCGAGUGGCGAACGGGUGAGUAACACGUGAGUAACCUGCCCUUGACUUUGGGAUAACUUCAGGAAACUGGGGCUAAUACCGGAUAGGAGCUCCUGCUGCAUGGUGGGGGUUGGAAAGUUUCGGCGGUUGGGGAUGGACUCGCGGCUUAUCAGCUUGUUGGUGGGGUAGUGGCUUACCAAGGGUUUGACGGGUAGCCGGCCUGAGAGGGUGACCGGCCACAUUGGGACUGAGAGACGGCCCAGACUCCUACGGUAGGCAGCAGGGGGGAAUAUUGCACAAUGGGCGGAAGCCUGAGGCAGCAACGCCGCGUGCGGGAUGACGGCCUUCGGGUUGUAAACCGCUUUCGCCUGUGACGAAGCGUGAGUGACGGUAAUGGGUAAAGAAGCACCGGCUAACUACGUG
Molecule: ribosomal RNA, 468 nt
Filed under: uncultured bacterium
Lineage: Bacteria
Description: partial 16S ribosomal RNA
Rfam family: Bacterial small subunit ribosomal RNA
Source: RNAcentral